Molecule: long non-coding RNA, 2358 nt
Organism: Cynoglossus semilaevis (tongue sole)
Lineage: Eukaryota; Metazoa; Chordata; Actinopteri; Pleuronectiformes; Cynoglossidae
Exons: 3
Source: RefSeq, a predicted model, not a curated record
CGCGACGACAGGUACUAAAGUAAUGAGUUCUUUACUUACAAACCCACGGGCAACGUUUACUCGACGGUACAUCACCAAAUACAGCUUCACCGAAAAGGCUGCCCGGUCCAACUGAUUCAUGUGACCGUGUCUCCCAGUAUCCCUCCCUGUACCAGUGCAUCUACCUUACUUUCUUCUGAAUGAUCAAAAUGAAAACGCAGUCAUCAGAGAGAGGCUUCAGCUCAGUCACUCAUCUCUGACAGACCUGAUCUUCAGUGAAAGUGAGCUCAGCGUAGGAGACGAGCUCCCAGAGGCAGCUGCUUCACACCGAGCGCGCGGUAUCCGUUCACCCCUUAAUGAAAGCUGCUGUAAUCACAUUUAGACAGGACGGUCGUAUCUCAUUAGCUCCCUGGUUCAAGAAAUGCUCUGCAACUCUUUGAUGUUCUGGAAGAUUCUCAUCGCUGGGUUCAGAACAAAGCCUGUCUUCCUCUAAGAUAAGGGGAGGACGGCGUUUCCUCCUGUUGUGCUGUGGAUGACAGUAAAACGUCUGAGGCGGCAAACCUUUGUAGUGCUACAAAACAAAGUAGAGAAGUCUAGUUUUGUGACUUUUGUAUUCAAGGGAAACCCGUUUGAUAGAAAUGGAAUUAAAUCACAGGGAAACCUGACAGACAGACACCAACGAUGGAGCGUUAAUCACAUCUGUUGUCAACUUUGAAUCUUGUGAUGUGUGAAAUAUGGAUAAUAUUGCUAGUUCUGCAUUUUGGUGCAGCGUCUAAAAAAACCCAUAAAAUCAAUGUAAAUUAUCGUACAUGUUCCCGAAAACAAGUGUCUUUACGCGGCAAUCCAAUACUGUGUAAUUGUACACAGUGGGGGUCCACCAGCGGUCUGUGUUUCUCUACUGUCCACGUUGUGUAUUACUUUCUGUACUGAAACAUGGAACUAGUGCCACACAUUUUUAAAAGCUCUACUCACGUUCUGUUCAUUUGGCUUAACUAUAAAGACAUUUAUCUAUUUAUUUAUAAGAGCCUUUAUUUUUUUAUUUUAUAUCUAAUGUAACAGAAUUAUAAAAAUGAAACAAUACCAGACACUGUAUUUAUUGGUUCUCAAAUAAACCACUUUAAAAUACUUUGAACAAGUGGGGUUUUUAAAGCCCCAUCUGCCCCCCCUCGGUCCAACAAAAAUUUUGACCAAUUACAUUUCAUAUUUAUUGACAUCAAAUACCACCCAACAAAAACGUACACAAAGUGCAAAAAGAGAAAAUAAAAUUGCAGCUGUGCCAUCAAGAACCUUUAAAAUAUCCUCCCGUCUGUCUGUCGUGCCCAAUCUGUAAUGUCUUCAUUCCCCAACAGGGGGGCCCGCCCCACACUUUGAGAAGCACUAAUAUAAACUGAGCUGCAGGACUGGAUUUUAAUUUAAUUUAAUAGUGUUUUUUCUAACCUGAAGCACACAUUUGCCCUGAGGCUACAGGACAAACUCAGCCGUCAGCUCUGCAACAGCAUCCUGAGGCCAAUGAUGCUGAUUCUUCUUUGAUGGUCCUGACGUUCCAAAACUCUCCAAAGGCACUGUCUGUUAAAAUUGUCCAAUGUCUGGGCUCCCUGUGGGGAUCGUACUAACCAUAUUAAGUCAACGUGCCAACGUGGGGUGAAUGGAUGUAUGAAUCAGGAGGUAGUUGCUCACUGGUGUCAAAAGAACUUGCGUGGCACUUUUCUGACAUUUUUCAAGGCAUACCUGGCACUUGAUAAGGCCCCAAUCCAAUGUUGUGUUUAAGACAGGAUCUUGUGUUUUAUGCACUUUGGCUCUUGCUGACAAGGCUGCUGUCUGCAGAUAACACAGAGCCUGCCAGAGAGCAGUUGCAGGCAGGCUAAAGGAUGGGGAAAAAGAAAGAAAAAAGAGAGAGACCAAGGGUUGAAGGAAGGGGCUAACGCUUAUUUUUCUUGACUCAUUUUAGACUGUCUACAGGGCUUCUGUCACACAUGGGAGCUUCCUACAUUGGCAAAGAUUAAAAGGGACCAACGUUAUCCUGCCCUCAGCAGAACAACUGCAGGGAGCAAUAAACCAAACACACAGGCCUUCCUCAUGCAUACCUGUGAGGCUCUUUCCCAGCCAGCCACGGUUUUCCCACAGUUAGGAGUGAAGAAAACAAAAACAAGAAUGACUUCUUCUAAAUGUUUUAAUUCAAACUUGGGUCGUUGGAGAUCUUGUAUAAAACAACAUUCAAAUAUUUUACGCUCUACAGUAUAUAUGAAAAGAUAGUUUGCUGGUUCAAUGCCUGUCUUUCUGUCUAGUGUUUGCAUGUUCCUUCUGUGUGGGGACAUGAUACUUCAGGUAUGGAAACAUGCAGGAUUAGUUUAGAUAGUAAAUUAAUAAAUUACAGAUAGA